UAGUCCGCACGAGCGCACCCUUGUCCUUAGUUGCCAUCAGGUAAAGCUGGGAACUCUAGGGAUACUGCCUGUAACAAGCAGGAGGAAGGUGGGGAUGACGUCAAGUCCUCAUGGCCCUUACGUCCAGGGCUGCACACGUGCUACAAUGGCCGGCACAAUGGGCUGCGAUACCGCGAGGUGGAGCCAAUCCCAAAAAACCGGCCUCAGUUGGGAUUGAAGUCUGCAACUCGACUUCAUGAACGUGGAAUCGCUAGUAAUCGCGGAUCAGCACGCCACGGUGAAUACGUUCCCGGGUCUUGUACACACCGCCCGUCAAGCUAGGAAAGCCGGAAAUACCUGAAGACGUGGUCCCAACCCGCAAGGGAGGGAUGCGCCGAGGGUAGAGCUGGCGAUUCGAGCUAAGUCGUAACAAGGUAGCCGUACCGGAAGGUGCGGCUGGAUCACCUCCUUU
Molecule: ribosomal RNA, 451 nt
Filed under: uncultured bacterium
Lineage: Bacteria
Description: bacterial SSU rRNA
Rfam family: Bacterial small subunit ribosomal RNA
Source: RNAcentral